Molecule: ribosomal RNA, 254 nt
Filed under: uncultured bacterium
Lineage: Bacteria
Description: partial 16S ribosomal RNA
Rfam family: Bacterial small subunit ribosomal RNA
Source: RNAcentral
AACGUAGGUGGCAAGCGUUGUCCGGAGUUACUGGGCGUAAAGGGUGCGCAGGCGGCGGUGCGCGUGGCGAGAUGAAAUCUCCUGGCUUACCUGGGAGGGUGGUCGCCAGACGGCAUCGCUUGAGGGUCGGAGAGGGGCGUGGAAUUCCGGGUGGAGCGGUGAAAUGCGUAGAGAUCCGGAGGAACACCGACGGCGUAGGCAGCGCCCUGGACGACACCUGACGCUGAGGCACGAAAGCGUGGGUAGCAAACAGG